Molecule: ribosomal RNA, 491 nt
Filed under: uncultured bacterium
Lineage: Bacteria
Description: bacterial SSU rRNA
Rfam family: Bacterial small subunit ribosomal RNA
Source: RNAcentral
UCAUGGCUCAGGAUGAACGCUGGCGGCGUGCUUAACACAUGCAAGUCGAACGAAGCACUUUGAUCGAUUUCUUCGGAUUGAAAUUUAGUGACUGAGUGGCGGACGGGUGAGUAACGCGUGGGUAACCUGCCUCACACAGGGGGAUAACAGUUGGAAACGGCUGCUAAUACCGCAUAAGCGCACAGUACCGCAUGGUACAGUGUGAAAAACUCCGGUGGUGUGAGAUGGACCCGCGUCUGAUUAGCUAGUUGGCAGGGUAACGGCCUACCAAGGCGACGAUCAGUAGCCGACCUGAGAGGGUGACCGGCCACAUUGGGACUGAGACACGGCCCAAACUCCUACGGGAGGCAGCAGUGGGGAAUAUUGCACAAUGGGGGAAACCCUGAUGCAGCGACGCCGCGUGAGCGAAGAAGUAUUUCGGUAUGUAAAGCUCUAUCAGCAGGGAAGAAGAAAUGACGGUACCUGACUAAGAAGCACCGGCUAAAUACGUG